This 460-nucleotide ribosomal RNA is filed under the name uncultured bacterium. RNAcentral's name for it is "partial 16S ribosomal RNA". It matches the Rfam family "Bacterial small subunit ribosomal RNA", at positions 338 to 795 of the family's 1533-position model. The record is from RNAcentral.
UCUACGGGUGGCAGCAGUGAGGAAUAUUGGUCAAUGGGCGCGAGCCUGAACCAGCCAAGUAGCGUGAAGGAUGACUGCCCUACGGGUUGUAAACUUCUUUUAUAAAGGAAUCAAGUGAGGCACGUGUGCCUUUUUGUAUUUCCUUUAUGAAUAAGGAUCGGCUAACUCCGUGCCAUCAGCCGCGGUAAUACGGAGACUCCGAUCGUUACCAGGAUUUAUUGGGUUUAAAUGGAGCGUAGAUGGGUUGUUAAGUCAGUUGUGAAAGUUUGCGGCUCAACCGUAAAAUUGCAAUUGAUACUGGCAGUCUUGAGUACAGUUGAGGUAGGCGGAAUUCGUGGUGUAGCGGUGAAAUGCUUAGAUAUCACGAAGAACUCCGAUUGCGAAGGCAGCUUACUAAACUGCCACUGACAGUGAUGCUCGAAAGUGUGGGUAUCAAACAGGAUUAGAUACCCGGGUAGUC